This is a long non-coding RNA of Ipomoea nil (Japanese morning glory), 694 nucleotides long. RefSeq lists it as uncharacterized. The record is from RefSeq and is a predicted model, not a curated record. Lineage: Eukaryota; Viridiplantae; Streptophyta; Magnoliopsida; Solanales; Convolvulaceae. The transcript has 2 exons.
CUGCUGUGGUGGGGAUUCAACAAUUCUGAAGGGAGGGUUUGGGCAACAACCUUGAAAUACCUGCUCAACCUCCCUCAAACAAGAGCUUAGUCCAUAGAUGUUCCAGGCUCAAAACUAUGCAUAUACAGUAAUACAGAGAAGACGAGAGCUGGCAAUGCUUUUCUUGAUAUUCUGUAUUCACUAAACGAAGAAGAAGAACCAUACCUUCUGCAUCAGCGGCAGCCAACGGUGUUUAUGUUCCUCGUUUUAAGCUGAAACAGUUACAGGGCAACUCUCCUUUGGCAUGCUAGAUUUAUGUUUUGUUGAAGCAACAAUGCAUGCCAAUAAAGAGUAGCCCUAUCACUGUUUCACUUACAAGUUGAUUCUUGUUUCUGCUGCUAUUUUGUUAUGGUUUUCACUGCUUAAACCUAGGUACCAUGCUUUAUAUAUAUAUAAGGAACUCUAAUAUCUGUUUCAAUGAACAGAAUAAACCAUGGGUGGAUCAGCAUAUCCAGUCACAGUUAUGCUGUGGAUCUCUCUCCACUUGCUGCUUUUCUGGUCAGAAACUUUUAUCUUUCCCACCCCAUUUCUUGAAAGCUCCUUUUGUUUACAAAGUUAUCAGAUUCCUCCCUGAAAUUAUAUUUGUUUGUGGGGUGCAGAAAAAGUGGUUCAAAUCUGAUGCUUUAUACUUUUACCCUUUGAAAUGUCUCAUGAG